Molecule: ribosomal RNA, 423 nt
Filed under: uncultured Sphingobacteriales bacterium
Lineage: Bacteria; Pseudomonadati; Bacteroidota; Sphingobacteriia; Sphingobacteriales
Description: bacterial SSU rRNA
Rfam family: Bacterial small subunit ribosomal RNA
Source: RNAcentral
AUGAUACGCGAGGAACUUACCUGGGCUCGAACGUAAGAUGACUGUAGGUGAAAGCUUACAUCUCUUCGGAGCAUUUUACGAGGUGCUGCAUGGUUGUCGUCAGCUCGUGCCGUGAGGUGUCGGUUAAGUCCCAUAACGAGCGCAACCCCUACCUUAGUUGCCAUCAGGUUAAGCUGGGGACUCUAAGGAACUGCCUACGCAAGUAGUGAGGAAGCGGGGAUGACGUCAAAUCAGCACGGCCCUUACGUCCAGGGCUACACACGUGCUACAAUGGCCGAUACAGAGGGCAGCUACCUGGUGACAGGAUGCAAAUCUCCAAAGUCGGUCUCAGUUCGGAUCGGAGUCUGCAACCCGACUCCGUGAAGUUGGAUUCGCUAGUAAUCGCGCAUCAGCCAUGGCGCGGUGAAUACGUUCCCGGGCCUU